RNAcentral lists this long non-coding RNA (835 nucleotides) under Gossypium raimondii (Peruvian cotton). RNAcentral describes it as "long non-coding RNA (GRAI_LNC011194)". Lineage: Eukaryota; Viridiplantae; Streptophyta; Magnoliopsida; Malvales; Malvaceae. The record is from RNAcentral.
CUUUUUCAGAUUUUCUAAAAAAACUGAAGGAGCCUCAAUUUUUUCUCAACACCCUCCCCUACAUUCGGCCUAGGCCUUCUCUAAGCCACCGUCGCGCCGCCGCCGCCGUGGCCAACGGCCGACGGCGAAAAAAAUGGGUUUUUUAACCUUCCCUUCGCAGCGUGCUAGAAGGUUGGCCUCUAUCAACCCGCAGGACCGAAAAAGGUCUUUAGUCCCCAACUUUCGGCUCCGACGACGGCGAAGAGAGCACCGACGCCGGGCUUGCAAGGCGACGAGGUACGCUUCUUCUCCCCUCUCUUUUUAUUUCAAUAUUUAGUAUAAAAAACGAAAAUAAAAGAAAUAAAAAUAAAAUAAGUACAAGAACCGAAAAAAGGUUUUUCCUUUUGAAAUUUUCUCUGUUUUUCUUGUUUUUUAUUUAGAUCUUCGUAAAAAAGAAGAAGCUUACAAGGAAGAGAUUUUCGGCUUUUAUAGCCGAUCUACACAACUUUUAAUUUCUAUUUCUUUGUCUUUUUGCUAUUUGUUUCUUCUGUUGUUGCGUGCCUUUUGCAUUCAAUUUUUGCAGGUGUCAGAGCAUGCGGAGGAAAGGCGGCUAGGAGCGGCGGUAGCCAGGCAUGGCAGAGGAGGCGAAACGGCGUUGGGGCUGGAGCCUGGGCAUGCGGCGCAUGGAGGCUUGGGGGCUAGGGUUUGGUACUGCUGAAUGGGGUUAAUUUUUGGGCUAGGGUUUCUUAAUUUGGGCCUGUUGGGUAUUUUGGGCCACUGUUUAUUUUGGACUGUAUGUUUUUUUUGCUGGUAUUGGGCUUUAGUGUUUUGGGCCCCGGGCAAAAUGGCUCUUACA